AUGGUGACCGCUAGCAAUACUGAUGGGUAUGGUCGCAAGGGAUUCUUCCGUCCUAAUGGGGAAUGGGUCACAUGCUUUUGUUCGUGGCAUUGGCACGGUGGAUCUGAAGUUUACUUCGGGAAAGAUCGUGCAACUAAGGAACGUGCAGCAUGUCCCUACUAUGAACAAGAAUCUAGCUAUGAGUGCGGAGGCUUGUUCCGCUUUUCUCUUUCAGAUUUUUGCAAUAAGUCAAUAAACCAAAUUUGUGCUAGUGUUAAUGAUGAUGCAAGUAUUUGGCACUCUCGUUUAUGUCAUAUUAAUUUUGGUUUAAUGUCUCGGCUAUCCAGCAUGAGUUUAAUUCCGAACUUCACAGUUGCCAAAGGUUCUAAGUGCCAUAGUUGUGUGCAAUCUAAGCAACCUCGAAAGCCUCAUAAGGCUGCCGAGGAGAGAAACUUGGCACCUCUAGAACUCAUACAUUCUGAUCUUUGUGAGAUGAAUGGUGUGUUGACAAAAGGUGGAAAGAGAUAUUUCAUGACUUUGAUUGAUGAUGCGACCAGAUUUUGCUAUGUUUAUUUGUUGCAAACUAAAGAUGAAGCAUUAGACUACUUUAAAAUCUAUAAAGCUGAAGUUGAAAAUCAACUAGAGAGAAAGAUCAAGCGUCUUAGGUCCGAUCGUGGUGGAGAGUAUUUUCCAAAAGUUUUUGAUGAAUUUUGUGAGGAACAUGGUAUUAUUCAUGAGAGGAUGCCUCCCUAUUCACCUCAAUCAAAUGGAGUGGCCGAGAGGAAAAACCGCACAUUGACUGACUUGGUGAAUGCCAUGUUAGACACUGCUGGUUUAUCUAAGGCAUGGUGGGGGGAGGCUCUAUUGACUUCAUGUCAUGUCCUGAAUAGAGUUCCCAACAAUAAUAAGGAGAAAACCCCUUAUGAGGAGUGGGUUGGGAGAAAACCAUCACUUUCUUAUUUGCGCACUUGGGGAUGUUUGGCAAAGGUCAAUAUUCCUAUUCCUAAGAAACGCAAACUUGGACCAAAGACAGUGGAUUGUGUCUUUCUAGGGUAUGCUCAACGGAGCAUUGCUUAUAGGUUUUUAGUGGUAAAAUCUAAAAAGGAUAACAAUGAAGUUCCUAGAAGGAACAAGAGACAAAGGAUUGCAAAAUCCUUUGGUGAUGAUUUCAUUGUAUACCUUGUGGACGACACACCCAAGACGAUUGCAGAAGCAUAUGCAUCUCCAGAUGUAGAUGAUUGGAAAGAAGCUGUUCAUAAUAAGAUGGACUCAAUUCUUUCUAAUGGAACUUGGGAACUAACUGAUAGAUCAUAUGGUUGUAAACCUGUGGGCUGUAAGUGGGUGUUCAAGAAGAAGCUAAAGCCUGAUGGUACUAUUGAUAAGUACAAGGCGCGGCUAGUGGCCAAGGGCUACACUCAGAAAGAAGGCGAAGAUUACUUUGACACCUAUUCACCCGUUGCUAGAAUGACCACCAUUCGAGUGUUACUUUCCUUGGCUGCCUCUUAUGGUCUUAUCAUUCAUCAAAUGGAUGUAAAGACAACUUUUCUCAAUGGAGAGUUGGAAGAGGAGAUCUAUAUGGAUCAGCCUGACGGGUUUGUGGUAAAGGGUGAAGAGAGAAAGGUGUGCAAGUUGUUAAAAUCUUUGUAUGGUCUGAAACAGGCACCUAAGCAAUGGCAUGAGAAGUUUGAAAGAACUUUGACUUCUGCAGGAUUUGUCAUUAACGAGGCUGCUAGGUGUGUUUACUAUCGCCAUGGUGGGGGCAAUAGUGUCAUAUUAUGUUUGUAUGUGGACGACAUACUGAUCUUUGGUACAAACAUUAAUGCAAUUAAUGAGGUCAAGUCUUUUCUAUCAAAAAGUUUUGACAUGAAAGAUCUGGGAGAAGCCGAUGUAAUUCUAAACAUCAAACUUAUUAAGGAUGAGAGUGAGAUUACAUUAACGCAAUCUCACUAUGUUGAGAAGGUCUUGAACCGAUUCGGUUUUAUGGAUAGCAAGCCUUCUCCAACACCUUAUGAUCCCAGCGUGACACUCAGAAAGAACAAGAAAGAAACGAGAGAUCAAUUAAGAUACUCUCAAAUUGUCGGUUCACUCAUGUACUUAGCUAGCGCUACAAGACCAGAUAUCUCUUUUGCUGUGAGCAAACUGAGUAGGUUCAUGUCCAACCCGGGUGAUGAUCAUUUGCAUGCACUAGAAAGGGUCUUGCGCUAUCUGAGAGGUACUAUGAGUUACGGAAUUACUUAUUCAGGGCAUCCUACUGUGCUAGAAGGAUAUAGUGAUUCAAAUUGGAUCUCCGAUGUUGAUGUACUUUACGCAACAAGUGGAUAUGUAUUUACUCAUGGUGGUGGCGCAGUGUCAUGGAGGUCUUGCAAGCAAACCAUAUUGACGAGGUCAACUAUGGAAGCAGAAUUAACUGCUUUGGACACAGCUACUGUUGAGGCAGAAUGGCUGCGUGAGCUCUUGAUGGACUUGCCGGUUGUUGAAAAAAACCUGUACCGGCUAUUCUUAUGA
Molecule: ribosomal RNA, 2484 nt
Filed under: Triticum aestivum (bread wheat)
Lineage: Eukaryota; Viridiplantae; Streptophyta; Magnoliopsida; Poales; Poaceae
Description: partial small subunit ribosomal RNA
Source: RNAcentral